Molecule: long non-coding RNA, 431 nt
Organism: Pygocentrus nattereri (red-bellied piranha)
Lineage: Eukaryota; Metazoa; Chordata; Actinopteri; Characiformes; Serrasalmidae
Exons: 3
Source: RefSeq, a predicted model, not a curated record
AUUACCAAGUGGGAGACAACCUAUAACACUAACACACUGGUACAACACUGCAACUUCAAAAGAGCACGUUCUUUUGUCUGGGCUGUAGCACUCAUGGCUGUUUUAAAGGAACGGGCAGUUCAGCGGUAACUACAGCUCAACACUGGUCUGGACCGCUAACAAAAUGGAAGAUUUUUGUCCGGUUUCAUCCUGCAGUAUUCAAGACAUCGAAACCAUUACAACUCCAAAACGUUCGGUCUGAUUGGGAAUGACGGGCCAAGCAGGGAGGGACAGACAUUGCCACAUUUUAUUGCUCAAGAAUAAAAGGUCCAUUGCCUUAAAAUAAGGAGUCUCUUUUUUGGAUUACAAGGAUGCCAACUGCCAUUUCAUUUGCCCAUAGGCUUCUAUUUAAACAACCAGACUGAGUAAUCAAAUAAAAGCACCAUUUGAAA